GACGAAUCAUCUGGAAAGAUGAAUCAAAGAAGGUAAUAAUCCUGUAGUCGAAAAUGUUGUCUCUCUUGAGUGGAUCCUGAGUACGACGGAGCACGUGAAAUUCCGUCGGAAUCUGGGAGGACCAUCUCCUAAGGCUAAAUACUCUCUAGUGACCGAUAGUGAACCAGUACCGUGAGGGAAAGGUGAAAAGCACCCCGGAAGGGGAGUGAAAUAGAACCUGAAACCGUGUGCUUACAAGUAGUCAGAGCCCGUUAAUGGGUGAUGGCGUGCCUUUUGUAGAAUGAACCGGCGAGUUACGAUUUGAUGCAAGGUUAAGCAGUAAAUGUGGAGCCGUAGCGAAAGCGAGUCUGAAUAGGGCGUUUAGUAUUUGGUCGUAGACCCGAAACCAGGUGAUCUACCCUUGGUCAGGUUGAAGUUCAGGUAACACUGAAUGGAGGACCGAACCGACUUACGUUGAAAAGUGAGCGGAUGAACUGAGGGUAGCGGAGAAAUUCCAAUCGAACCUGGAGAUAGCUGGUUCUCUCCGAAAUAGCUUUAGGGCUAGCCUCAAGUGAUGAUUAUUGGAGGUAGAGCACUGUUUGGACGAGGGGCCCCUCUCGGGUUACCGAAUUCAGACAAACUCCGAAUGCCAAUUAAUUUAACUUGGGAGUCAGAACAUGGGUGAUAAGGUCCGUGUUCGAAAGGGAAACAGCCCAGACCACCAGCUAAGGUCCCAAAAUAUAUGUUAAGUGGAAAAGGAUGUGGCGUUGCCCAGACAACUAGGAUGUUGGCUUAGAAGCAGCCAUCAUUUAAAGAGUGCGUAAUAGCUCACUAGUCGAGUGACACUGCGCCGA
RNAcentral lists this ribosomal RNA (833 nucleotides) under Staphylococcus aureus. RNAcentral's name for it is "partial 23S ribosomal RNA". It matches the Rfam family "Bacterial large subunit ribosomal RNA", at positions 332 to 1167 of the family's 2925-position model. Lineage: Bacteria; Bacillati; Bacillota; Bacilli; Caryophanales; Staphylococcaceae. The record is from RNAcentral.